RNAcentral lists this ribosomal RNA (1275 nucleotides) under Triticum aestivum (bread wheat). Its description in RNAcentral is "partial small subunit ribosomal RNA". Lineage: Eukaryota; Viridiplantae; Streptophyta; Magnoliopsida; Poales; Poaceae. The record is from RNAcentral.
AUGGUGAAUAGCAACAGUGCAUUGAAAAAUGGCCAACCACUAACUGCAGUGUCUGCAAUCAUGGCAAUCAAGCUGAAGUAUCAAGUGCAUAAAAACUGGUUUGGUGACCCAUGCGGUCCGGAGACUAUUAUGGUGUGGGCCAAGUUGGCAUGUAGCUACGCCACUGCAAGGGCCCCAAGGAUUAGACGCGUAGACUUGUCCUCGAGAGGUCUGAACGGUGAUAUCUCAUCUUCCUUCGCCAAUCUUAAAGUUAUCCAAUACUUGAAUCUUUCAAACAAUAACUUGGUAGGAUCAAUUCCAGAUGCCCUUUCACAAUUAACUUCAUUGGCAGUUCUAUAUGGCAACAAUCGAGACCUUUGCCCCAAUGGCAAUUCAUGUGGGCUACCAAACAAACGAAAGAGCAAUCUGGCCAUCUACAUUGUCGUCCCUAUAAUUGUGGUGAUAAUAGUGGUAGUAUUAUUACUACUCUUUUGCUUGCUAAGGAGGAAGAGACAAGGAUCAAUGAACAACUCUGUGGAUCCACACAAUGAAACCACGACGAGCUAUGUGGUAGGAAACGAUGUUCAUAGGGACAAUUCCUCAUUGCAUCGACUUGAGAGUCGUCAGUUCACGUACGAGGAGCUCAAGAUGAUAACAAACAACUUCCAACGAGUACUUGGCCAGGGAGGGUUCGGGUACGUCUAUGAUGGUUUUCUAGAGGAUGGCACCCAUGUGGCGGUGAAGUUACAGUCUCAUUCUUCCAGUCAAGGUGUCAAGGAGUUCCUUGCAGAGGAAGUAAACGCGAUGGAGGAUGUUUAUCAUGGAGUCAAAGACUCCGGAUUGCACUUGAAUCUGCACAAGGCUAGGAUUGCGGACUUCGGCUUGUUCAAGGCCUUCAAUGGUGGCGAUGAUUACGCUUCCACAAUGACACUCGUUGGCACACCCGGAUAUGUCGACCCCGAGUACCAGGCGACGAUGCAGCCAACAGCCAAGAGCGAUGUGUAUAGCUUCGGUGUCGUCCUGCUGGAACUGGUCACAGGGAAGCCUGCCAUACUGCAGGAGGCGACACCCAUCAACAUCCUUCAUUGGACACGAAAACGGAUGGCACAGGGCCAUAUUGAAAGUGUGGUUGAUGCGCGUAUGUGUGGCAUUUAUGAUGUUAACAGUGUGUGGAAAGUGGUGGAAAUUGCACUCAAGUGCAUUGCAUAUGUGUCACCGCAACGACCCACCAUGACCGGUGUGGUGGCUCAGUUGCAAGAGUGCAUGGAGCUCGAGGAAGGAAGCAUCGAUCAUUGA